GCCUAACACAUGCAAGUCGAACGGCAGCACGGGAGCAAUCCUGGUGGCGAGUGGCGAACGGGUGAGUAAUAUAUCGGAACGUGCCCAGUAGUGGGGGAUAGCCCGGCGAAAGCCGGAUUAAUACCGCAUGAGACCUGAGGGUGAAAGCGGGGGAUCGCAAGACCUCGCGCUACUGGAGCGGCCGAUAUCAGAUUAGCUAGUUGGUGGGGUAAAAGCUCACCAAGGCAACGAUCUGUAGUUGGUCUGAGAGGACGACCAGCCACACUGGGACUGAGACACGGCCCAGACUCCUACGGGAGGCAGCAGUGGGGAAUUUUGGACAAUGGGCGCAAGCCUGAUCCAGCAAUGCCGCGUGCAGGAAGAAGGCCUUCGGGUUGUAAACUGCUUUUGUCAGGGAAGAAAUCCUCUGGGUUAAUACCUCGGGGGGAUGACGGUACCUGAAGAAUAAGCACCGGCUAACUACGUGCCAGCAGCCGCGGUAAU
RNAcentral lists this ribosomal RNA (483 nucleotides) under uncultured bacterium. RNAcentral describes it as "bacterial SSU rRNA". It matches the Rfam family "Bacterial small subunit ribosomal RNA", at positions 46 to 524 of the family's 1533-position model. The record is from RNAcentral.